This 1241-nucleotide ribosomal RNA is filed under the name Pseudarthrobacter psychrotolerans. RNAcentral describes it as "bacterial SSU rRNA". It matches the Rfam family "Bacterial small subunit ribosomal RNA", at positions 114 to 1365 of the family's 1533-position model. The record is from RNAcentral. Lineage: Bacteria; Bacillati; Actinomycetota; Actinomycetes; Micrococcales; Micrococcaceae.
CACGUGAGUAACCUGCCCUUAACUCUGGGAUAAGCCUGGGAAACUGGGUCUAAUACCGGAUAUGACUCCUCAUCGCAUGGUGGGGGGUGGAAAGCUUUAUUGUGGUUUUGGAUGGACUCGCGGCCUAUCAGCUUGUUGGUGAGGUAAUGGCUCACCAAGGCGACGACGGGUAGCCGGCCUGAGAGGGUGACCGGCCACACUGGGACUGAGACACGGCCCAGACUCCUACGGGAGGCAGCAGUGGGGAAUAUUGCACAAUGGGCGAAAGCCUGAUGCAGCGACGCCGCGUGAGGGAUGACGGCCUUCGGGUUGUAAACCUCUUUCAGUAGGGAAGAAGCGAAAGUGACGGUACCUGCAGAAGAAGCGCCGGCUAACUACGUGCCAGCAGCCGCGGUAAUACGUAGGGCGCAAGCGUUAUCCGGAAUUAUUGGGCGUAAAGAGCUCGUAGGCGGUUUGUCGCGUCUGCCGUGAAAGUCCGGGGCUCAACUCCGGAUCUGCGGUGGGUACGGGCAGACUAGAGUGAUGUAGGGGAGACUGGAAUUCCUGGUGUAGCGGUGAAAUGCGCAGAUAUCAGGAGGAACACCGAUGGCGAAGGCAGGUCUCUGGGCAUUAACUGACGCUGAGGAGCGAAAGCAUGGGGAGCGAACAGGAUUAGAUACCCUGGUAGUCCAUGCCGUAAACGUUGGGCACUAGGUGUGGGGGACAUUCCACGUUUUCCGCGCCGUAGCUAACGCAUUAAGUGCCCCGCCUGGGGAGUACGGCCGCAAGGCUAAAACUCAAAGGAAUUGACGGGGGCCCGCACAAGCGGCGGAGCAUGCGGAUUAAUUCGAUGCAACGCGAAGAACCUUACCAAGGCUUGACAUGAACCGGAAAUACCUGGAAACAGGUGCCCCGCUUGCGGUCGGUUUACAGGUGGUGCAUGGUUGUCGUCAGCUCGUGUCGUGAGAUGUUGGGUUAAGUCCCGCAACGAGCGCAACCCUCGUUCUAUGUUGCCAGCGCGUUAUGGCGGGGACUCAUAGGAGACUGCCGGGGUCAACUCGGAGGAAGGUGGGGACGACGUCAAAUCAUCAUGCCCCUUAUGUCUUGGGCUUCACGCAUGCUACAAUGGCCGGUACAAAGGGUUGCGAUACUGUGAGGUGGAGCUAAUCCCAAAAAGCCGGUCUCAGUUCGGAUUGGGGUCUGCAACUCGACCCCAUGAAGUCGGAGUCGCUAGUAAUCGCAGAUCAGCAACGCUGCGGUGA